Molecule: ribosomal RNA, 494 nt
Filed under: uncultured bacterium
Lineage: Bacteria
Description: partial 16S ribosomal RNA
Rfam family: Bacterial small subunit ribosomal RNA
Source: RNAcentral
GACGAACGCUGGCGGCGUGCCUAAUACAUGCAAGUAGAACGCUGAAGGAGGAGCUUGCUUCUCUGGAUGAGUUGCGAACGGGUGAGUAACGCGUAGGUAACCUGCCUGGUAGCGGGGGAUAACUAUUGGAAACGAUAGCUAAUACCGCAUAAUAGUAGAUGUUGCAUGACAUUUGCUUAAAAGGUGCAAUUGCAUCACUACCAGAUGGACCUGCGUUGUAUUAGCUAGUUGGUGAGGUAACGGCUCACCAAGGCGACGAUACAUAGCCGACCUGAGAGGGUGAUCGGCCACACUGGGACUGAGACACGGCCCAGACUCCUACGGGAGGCAGCAGUAGUGAAUCUUCGGCAAUGGACGGAAGUCUGACCGAGCAACGCCGCGUGAGUGAAGAAGGUUUUCGGAUCGUAAAGCUCUGUUGUAAGAGAAGAACGAGUGUGAGAGUGGAAAGUUCACACUGUGACGGUAUCUUACCAGAAAGGGACGGCGAACUACGU